CCUACGGGAGGCAGCAGUGAGGAAUAUUGGUCAAUGGACGAGAGUCUGAACCAGCCAAGUAGCGUGAAGGAUGACUGCCCUAUGGGUUGUAAACUUCUUUUAUAUGGGAAUAAAAUGUUCCACGUGUGGGAUUCUGUAUGUACCAUAUGAAUAAGGAUCGGCUAACUCCGUGCCAGCAGCCGCGGUAAUACGGAGGAUCCGAGCGUUAUCCGGAUUUAUUGGGUUUAAAGGGAGCGUAGGUGGAUUGUUAAGUGAGUUGUGAAAGUUUGCGGCUCAACCGUAAAAUUGCCGUUGAAACUGUCCGUCUUGAGAACAGUAGAGGUAGGCGGAAUGCGUGGUGUAGCGGUGAAAUGCUUAGAUAUCACGAAGAACUCCGAUUGCGAAGGCAGCUCACUGGACUGCAACUGACACUGAGGCUCGAAAGUGUGGGUAUCAAACAGGAUUAGAUACCCGUGUAGUC
Molecule: ribosomal RNA, 460 nt
Filed under: uncultured bacterium
Lineage: Bacteria
Description: partial 16S ribosomal RNA
Rfam family: Bacterial small subunit ribosomal RNA
Source: RNAcentral